ACUUUAAGAACUGACUGAAAAAGCUGUUAUAGGGUAGCUGGUGCUUAAUGCUGUGUGUGUGUGUGUGUGUGUGUUAAAUGGUCAGUAUUCUUGUAAAAGUAAAUUAUAAAGCACUACUUGGCUCUGCUCAGCUCAGUCUGUUUGCAUAAAGUGUGUGUGUGUGUGUGUGCGUGUGUGUGUGUGUGUGUGUGUGUGUGUGAGUGACGGAGGAGCAUGUAGGUCCUUGUAGGAAUGAAGUGCACUUGAUAAAAUUAAAAU
Long non-coding RNA from Myripristis murdjan (pinecone soldierfish), 258 nucleotides. RefSeq lists it as uncharacterized. The transcript is spliced from 2 exons. NCBI's taxonomy places the organism in Eukaryota, Metazoa, Chordata, Actinopteri, Holocentriformes, Holocentridae. The record is from RefSeq and is a predicted model, not a curated record.